AGGACGAACGCUGGCGGCGUGCUUAACACAUGCAAGUCAAGGGGGCCCAGCAAUGGGCAACCGGCGAACGGGUGCGUAACACGUGAGCAACCUACCGAAAUGUGGGGGAUAGCCGGCCGUAACGGCCGAGUAAUACCGCAUACGCUCUCGAUGAGGCAUUUCAUUGAGAGGAAACCUACGGGACAUUUCGAGGGGCUCGCGGCCUAUCAGCUAGUUGGCGAGGUAACGGCUCACCAAGGCAACGACGGGUA
This 251-nucleotide ribosomal RNA is filed under the name uncultured soil bacterium. RNAcentral's name for it is "partial 16S ribosomal RNA". It matches the Rfam family "Bacterial small subunit ribosomal RNA", at positions 26 to 285 of the family's 1533-position model. The record is from RNAcentral.